UUAUUGCUUUGUUUUGCAUGGAUAGAAAAUAUGGAACAACUGCUGGGGGAAGAAGAGAGAAGAGAAUUAAAGUUCUACAUCAGAUUGUUGGGGAAGAGUGAGGAAUUCUGGAUUUGGAGCUUGAGAUCCUGGAUUCAAGUUCCAAUUCUGCAGCUUAUUAUCUCUACCACUUUUGAGGAAUAAAAUCCAGUGAGACUCAACAAAUUUUCAAGUUACACACCUCAGAAUGACAGAUUUGGGACCAGAAUCUAGAUCUCGUGUAUCUAAUGGUGUUCUUUGAACUGCAUCCAAGUAUUCUUGUUCAAUAAGGAGGAAUGUGGAACAAAUCAAGUAGGUAGGCAUGAAUAUUUAUUAUUACCAGAGAGUAAGGGAUCCAAAAGUUCUGAGGUGUUAUCUCUUUUUGACACUUACUGCCUAUUACUGGAACUCAUCUUUUGAAUAAGGUAUGAGAAUGGCAUUAUAUUCUUGCUUAAAUUUUGGUCCUUUUUUAACAAAUUGUUUAGCAUUCUCUGCUACACAUUGAUUUGGUAGAAAACAUAAAGGUUCUGCAUAAUAUCAACCAAUAUUCUAUCAGUUAUGUUUAUGUAAAUGUACAUGACUAAAUUUAUAUUAAAAAUUUAAAAACUAAAAGUAGCUGUGAUUAUCCUAAAAUAGAGCAAAUUUGAAUAUCAACGUUUAUUUUAACUAAAUGAUGAUUGGCACAAUGACAGACAAAUAAUCUAAUAGAAUAGACUACAGGAAAAGGUGUACACAUGUGCAGUGACUCUUUAUUUAUGAUAAAGAUGUACCUGCAAAUUAUAGGACAAGAGUGUUUUUUCCCUGUGAAUAGUGCUGGGUCUAAUGUACAUAUAAAAAGAGAGGAAAAUCCUCAAUCAGUAGUUGACACACUAGACAAAUUUCAAUUCCAGGUCAAUUUUGUAUCUAAAUAUAAAUGAUAAAUAAUAAGGCUUCUUAAAGAUAAUAACAAAUAUUUUUAUGAAUGAUUACAAUACAGGACAUAAACAAUACUAACAAAAAUAUUAGUAAUGCUUUCAUUAAAAUUGAGAAUUCCCAUUUAUCAAAAGAUACUAUUAUUAAGAGAGUAAGAAGUCAAGUGAAAUAUACCUCCUAUAUUUCAGUAGGUAAAUAUAUUUUCAAUGUAUGUAAUGGUUAGAAGUGUCAUGUUCAAUAUACAUUAAGAGCUCCUCCAAAUGAAUAAAAAUUGGACAGAUGGUCCAAUAGAAAAAUGUAUGAGAGAACUAAACAAACUUCGCACAAGAGGAUCUCCAAAUGGCCAAUAAAUACAUUAUAAUAUGCUUAACUUCAUUCCACAGCAAAUAAAUGAAAUCUCAGUACAAUAGCCUGCAUAUCAACCAUAAUGACUGAAAUUAAAAAUACUAAUAAUACUAAGUACUCACAGUAAUGUAGAGCAAUCCUGUUUCUAAUGAGACAAUAACUUGUUAAAUCUUUCUAAAGCUUAGUAUGUAUGCACUCUAUAACCUAAGAAUUCCAUUCCAAAGUAUAUUCUCAACAAAUGUGUACAUAUGUGCGCCAAAGGACAUGCACAAAAAUGUCAUAGAGGCAUCAUUUUUUAUAUAUUUUUACUGUGGUGAAAUAACAUUAAAUUUUGCCAUGAUAACCAUUUUUAAGUGUACAGUUCAAAGUAUGAACUAUAUUUAGAUUUUUGAGCAACUGAUCUCUAGAAAUUUUUCAUCUGAAACUCCAUCCCCAUUAAACACUCUUCCAUAUAUCCCUCCCCCGAUGCUUGGCAACUACCUUUCUGCUAUUUCUAUCCCUCUGACUAAUUCAAAUAUUUUGUAGGAGUAGAACCAUAUAGUAUUUGUCUUUUUGUGACUACCUUAAUUUGCUUAGCAUAAUAUGUUUAAGUUUGGUCCUGUUGUGGCAUAUGAUAGGAUUUAUUUUCUUUAUAAGGCCAAGUAAUCUAUUGUGUGAACGUAUCACAUUUUCUUUGUGUAUUCAACUGUUGAUGAACAUUUGAUUUGCUUCCACCUCUUUUGUGAAUGAUAAUGCUAUGAAUAUGGAUUUGCAAUUAUAACUUGGACAUCCUGCUUUGAAUUCUUUUGGUAAAUACCCAGAAGCGGUAUUGCCAGAUCACAUGGAGCUUCUAUACUAUUCUUUAUAGUCACAAAACCAUUUUACAUUCCGACCAAUAGUGCACAAGAGUUUCAGCUUCUCCACAUCCUUGCUAAUGCUUGUCCUUUUCUUUUCAUUUAUUUAUUUUUUGAUAGCAGCCAUCCUAAUAGAUGUGACAUUAUAACCUCAUUGUUGUUUUGAUUUUGUUUCUCCGACAAUUAGUAAUGUUAAACAUCUUUAUAUUUAUUAACUAUUUGUAUAUCUUUUAGAUAUUGCUGAUUCACAUUCUUUGCUCAUUUUUAAUCAACUUUUAUUGUUGUUAAGUUGCAGAAGUUCCUUAUAAAUUCUGGAUAUUAAUCUCUUAUCAGAUAUAUGAUUUGCAAAUAUUUUUUCUCUGUAGAUCGCCCUUUUACUCUGUUGACUGUUUCUUUUGAUGCACAGAAGUUUUUGAGUUUGAUGUGGUCUUGUUUGUCUAUGUUUGCUAAAAGCAGCAUUAUUUUCACUAGCUCCAAGUGAAAACCUCCAAAAUGUCUAUUGUUAGUGGAUCAAUAAAUAAGGUGUGGCAUAUUUAUAUCUUAGAAUAAUAUAUGACAAGAAAUAUGAAAUAACUGCUGGUAAAUCAAUAGUAUAAAUCUAUUCCACAAACAUAUAUUCAGUGAAAGAAACCAGCCAACAUCGUAUACUGUAUGCUUCAUUUAUUUAAAGUUUAAAAAUAGGAAAAAUUAAUCAAGUCUAUUAUAAUUCACAGAG
Cebus imitator (Panamanian white-faced capuchin) is the source of this 2823-nucleotide long non-coding RNA. RefSeq lists it as uncharacterized. The transcript is spliced from 3 exons. Lineage: Eukaryota; Metazoa; Chordata; Mammalia; Primates; Cebidae. The record is from RefSeq and is a predicted model, not a curated record.